Molecule: ribosomal RNA, 357 nt
Filed under: uncultured bacterium
Lineage: Bacteria
Description: partial 16S ribosomal RNA
Rfam family: Bacterial small subunit ribosomal RNA
Source: RNAcentral
CCUACGGGUGGGCAGCAGUGAGGAAUAUUGGUCAAUGGACGAGAGUCUGAACCAGCCAAGUAGCGUGAAGGAUGACUGCCCUAUGGGUUGUAAACUUCUUUUAUAAAGGAAUAAAACGAGGCACGUGUGCUUUUUUGCAUUUUCUUUCUGAUUAAGGACCGGCUAACCCCGUGCCAGCAGCCGCGGUAAUACGGAGGAUCCGAGCGUUAUCCGGAUUUAUUGGGUUUAAAGGGAGCGUAGAUGGGUUGUUAAGUCGGUGGUGAAAGUUUGCGGUUCAACCGUAAAAUUGCAAUUGAUACUGGCAGUCUUGGGUACAAUUGAGGUAAGCGGAAUUCGUUGGGUAGCGGUGGAAAGCUU